GAUGAACGCUGGCGGCGUGCCUAAUACAUGCAAGUCGAGCGAACAGACGAGGAGCUUGCUCCUCUGACGUUAGCGGCGGACGGGUGAGUAACACGUGGAUAACCUACCUAUAAGACUGGGAUAACUUCGGGAAACCGGAGCUAAUACCGGAUAAUAUAUUGAACCGCAUGGUUCAAUAGUGGAAGACGGUUUUGCUGUCACUUAUAGAUGGAUCCGCGCCGCAUUAGCUAGUUGGUAAGGUAACGGCUUACCAAGGCAACGAUGCGUAGCCGACCUGAGAGGGUGAUCGGCCACACUGGAACUGAGACACGGUCCAGACUCCUACGGGAGGCAGCAGUAGGGAAUCUUCCGCAAUGGGCGAAAGCCUGACGGAGCAACGCCGCGUGAGUGAUGAAGGUCUUCGGAUCGUAAAACUCUGUUAUUAGGGAAGAACAAAUGUGUAAGUAACUAUGCACGCCUUGACGGUACCUAAUCAGAAAGCCACGGCUAACUACGUG
RNAcentral lists this ribosomal RNA (497 nucleotides) under uncultured bacterium. RNAcentral's name for it is "partial 16S ribosomal RNA". It matches the Rfam family "Bacterial small subunit ribosomal RNA", at positions 28 to 507 of the family's 1533-position model. The record is from RNAcentral.